GUGAGAGACACGUAAGCGAAAGUAACGAGAGCUGCGCGAGUUCCAGAGUACGGCCAGACACGUGAAACCUGGUCGGAAGAUGGGGGGACCACCCUCCAACCCUAAAUACUACCCAGUGACCGAUAGCGUAUAGUACUGUGAAGGAAAGGUGAAAAGCACCCCGGGAGGGGAGUGAAAAAGAACCUGAAACCCUGUGCCUACAAGCACCUAGAGCACGUCAAUGUGUGAUAGGGUACUUUUUGUAGAACGGUCCGGCGAGCGAUUGUAUGCAGCAAGGUUAAGGACUUAAGGUCUGGAGCCGAAGCGAAAGCGAGUUUGAAAAGGGCGUUAAGUUGCAUAUAAUGGGCCCGAAACCGGGUGACCUACCCAUGGUCAGGUUGAAGUGGAAGUAAAAUUCCAUGGAGGACCGAACCGACCUCCGUUGAAAAGGCGGCGGAUGAACUGUGGGUAGCGGAGAAAUUCCAAUCGAACCCGGAGAUAGCUGGUUCUCCCCGAAAUAGUUUUAGGACUAGCCUCAAGUUAGAUACCUGGAGGUAAAGCACUGAAUAGCCUAGCGGCCGAGAGGUUAGCGAAGCUUAUCAAACUCAGAAUGCCAGAGUAUUGAUGCUUGGGAGUCAGACAGUGUCAGAUAAAUGUCAUUGUCAAAAGGGAAACAGCCCAGAUCUACAGCUAAGGUCCCAAAGUCAGGUUAAGUGGAAAACGAUGUGAAGAUACGUAGACAACCAGGAUGUUGGCUCAGAAGCAGCCACUCAUUCAAAGAGUGCGUAAUAGCUCACUGGUCGAGCGUCUUUGCGCGGAGAAUUUAACGGGGCUAAACCUGACACCGAAGCUUAGGCAAUCCAGCAAUGGAUUGGGUAGGGGAGCGUUGUAUACGCGGAGAAACAGUAGCGUAAGCGGCUGUGGAGUGUAUAGAAGUGAGAAUGCCGGAAUGAGUAGCGCGAAUGCAGUGAGAAUCUGCAUGGCCGAAAGCCUCAGGUUUCUGGAGGAAGGUUCGUCCGCUCCAGGUUAGUCGGGAGCUAAGGUGAGGCCGGAAGGCGUAGCCGAUGCACAGACGGUAGAGAUUCCGUCACCACCAAAAGAGUUAAGCACAGGGACACAUUUGAAGUCUCAGAGCCGGGUGUUGGUUCCGGUAGAGAUCGAGGGAAGUUAGUACCGAAGUCCGGGAUGGAAGAUGGCGAGAAAAGCUGUGUGUAUUUCUGCGGUGCCCGUACCGCAAACCGACACAGGUAGGUAGGAAGAAGAUUCUAAGGCCAACGGGAGAAGGGUUGUUAAGGAACUCGGCAAAUUGACCCCGUAACUUCGGGAGAAGGGGUGCUCCAGAGAUGGAGCCGCAGAGAAUCGGCCCAAGCAACUGUUUACCAAAAACACAGGUUUGUGCUAAAUCGAAAGAUGACGUAUACGAGCUGACGCCUGCCCGGUGCUGGAAGGUUAAGAGGAGAUGUGCAAGCAUUGAAUCGAAGCCCCAGUGAACGGCGGCCGUAACUAUAACGGUCCUAAGGUAGCGAAAUUCCUUGUCAGGUAAGUUCUGACCCGCACGAAAGGCGUAAUGAUUUGGGCACUGUCUCGACAGCGCACCCGGUGAAAUUGUAGUACCAGUGAAGAUGCUGGUUACCCGCGACAGGACGGAAAGACCCCGUGCACAGGAUAGAUGGGACUCUGGGAAGUGAUCGCUUUGGCGGUCAUGGAGAGGACGUUGGGAUACCAUCCUUGCGAUAUUGGAAUUCUAACCUGCGGCUCUGAAUCGAGUCGGGGGACAUUGUUAGGUGGGCAGUUUGACUGGGGCGGUCGCCUCCUAAAAAGUAACGGAGGCGUUCAAAGGUUCGCUCAGCUUGAACGGAAAUCAAGCAAAAGAGUGCAAACGCA
RNAcentral lists this ribosomal RNA (1863 nucleotides) under human gut metagenome. Its description in RNAcentral is "bacterial LSU rRNA". It matches the Rfam family "Bacterial large subunit ribosomal RNA", at positions 364 to 2359 of the family's 2925-position model. The record is from RNAcentral.